RNAcentral lists this ribosomal RNA (413 nucleotides) under uncultured microorganism. RNAcentral's name for it is "bacterial SSU rRNA". It matches the Rfam family "Archaeal small subunit ribosomal RNA", at positions 330 to 745 of the family's 1478-position model. The record is from RNAcentral.
GUGCAGCAGUCGAGAAACCUCCGCAAUGCGCGAAAGCGCGACGGGGUUACCCCGAGUGCCGUCCGCUGAGGACGGCUUUUGCCCAGUGUAGCCAGCUGGGCGAAUAAGGAGAGGGCAAGUCUGGUGUCAGCCGCCGCGGUAAUACCAGCUCUCCGAGUGGUGGGGACGCUUAUUGGGCCUAAAGCAUCCGUAGCCGGUCUGGCAAGUCCCUUGUAAAUCCAACGAUUCAAUCGUUGGACUGCAAGGGGAUACUGCCAGACUAGGGGGCGGGAGAGGCCGACGGUAUUCCCGGGGUAGGGUGAAAUCCGUAUAAUCCCGGGAGGACCACCAGUGGCGAAGGCUGUCGGCUAGAACGCGCCCGACGGUGAGGGAUGAAAGCUGGGGGAGCGAACCGGAUUAGAUACCCGGGUAGU